This 1867-nucleotide ribosomal RNA is filed under the name Staphylococcus aureus. Its description in RNAcentral is "partial 23S ribosomal RNA". It matches the Rfam family "Bacterial large subunit ribosomal RNA", at positions 426 to 2297 of the family's 2925-position model. The record is from RNAcentral. Lineage: Bacteria; Bacillati; Bacillota; Bacilli; Caryophanales; Staphylococcaceae.
GUGAAAUUCCGUCGGAAUCUGGGAGGACCAUCUCCUAAGGCUAAAUACUCUCUAGUGACCGAUAGUGAACCAGUACCGUGAGGGAAAGGUGAAAAGCACCCCGGAAGGGGAGUGAAAUAGAACCUGAAACCGUGUGCUUACAAGUAGUCAGAGCCCGUUAAUGGGUGAUGGCGUGCCUUUUGUAGAAUGAACCGGCGAGUUACGAUUUGAUGCAAGGUUAAGCAGUAAAUGUGGAGCCGUAGCGAAAGCGAGUCUGAAUAGGGCGUUUAGUAUUUGGUCGUAGACCCGAAACCAGGUGAUCUACCCUUGGUCAGGUUGAAGUUCAGGUAACACUGAAUGGAGGACCGAACCGACUUACGUUGAAAAGUGAGCGGAUGAACUGAGGGUAGCGGAGAAAUUCCAAUCGAACCUGGAGAUAGCUGGUUCUCUCCGAAAUAGCUUUAGGGCUAGCCUCAAGUGAUGAUUAUUGGAGGUAGAGCACUGUUUGGACGAGGGGCCCCUCUCGGGUUACCGAAUUCAGACAAACUCCGAAUGCCAAUUAAUUUAACUUGGGAGUCAGAACAUGGGUGAUAAGGUCCAUGUUCGAAAGGGAAACAGCCCAGACCACCAGCUAAGGUCCCAAAAUAUAUGUUAAGUGGAAAAGGAUGUGGCGUUGCCCAGACAACUAGGAUGUUGGCUUAGAAGCAGCCAUCAUUUAAAGAGUGCGUAAUAGCUCACUAGUCGAGUGACACUGCGCCGAAAAUGUACCGGGGCUAAACAUAUUACCGAAGCUGUGGAUUGUCCUUUGGACAAUGGUAGGAGAGCGUUCUAAGGGCGUUGAAGCAUGAUCGUAAGGACAUGUGGAGCGCUUAGAAGUGAGAAUGCCGGUGUGAGUAGCGAAAGACGGGUGAGAAUCCCGUCCACCGAUUGACUAAGGUUUCCAGAGGAAGGCUCGUCCGCUCUGGGUUAGUCGGGUCCUAAGCUGAGGCCGACAGGCGUAGGCGAUGGAUAACAGGUUGAUAUUCCUGUACCACCUAUAAUCGUUUUAAUCGAUGGGGGGACGCAGUAGGAUAGGCGAAGCGUGCGAUUGGAUUGCACGUCUAAGCAGUAAGGCUGAGUAUUAGGCAAAUCCGGUACUCGUUAAGGCUGAGCUGUGAUGGGGAGAAGACAUUGUGUCUUCGAGUCGUUGAUUUCACACUGCCGAGAAAAGCCUCUAGAUAGAAAAUAGGUGCCCGUACCGCAAACCGACACAGGUAGUCAAGAUGAGAAUUCUAAGGUGAGCGAGCGAACUCUCGUUAAGGAACUCGGCAAAAUGACCCCGUAACUUCGGGAGAAGGGGUGCUCUUUAGGGUUAACGCCCAGAAGAGCCGCAGUGAAUAGGCCCAAGCGACUGUUUAUCAAAAACACAGGUCUCUGCUAAACCGUAAGGUGAUGUAUAGGGGCUGACGCCUGCCCGGUGCUGGAAGGUUAAGAGGAGUGGUUAGCUUCUGCGAAGCUACGAAUCGAAGCCCCAGUAAACGGCGGCCGUAACUAUAACGGUCCUAAGGUAGCGAAAUUCCUUGUCGGGUAAGUUCCGACCCGCACGAAAGGCGUAACGAUUUGGGCACUGUCUCAACGAGAGACUCGGUGAAAUCAUAGUACCUGUGAAGAUGCAGGUUACCCGCGACAGGACGGAAAGACCCCGUGGAGCUUUACUGUAGCCUGAUAUUGAAAUUCGGCACAGCUUGUACAGGAUAGGUAGGAGCCUUUGAAACGUGAGCGCUAGCUUACGUGGAGGCGCUGGUGGGAUACUACCCUAGCUGUGUUGGCUUUCUAACCCGCACCACUUAUCGUGGUGGGAGACAGUGUCAGGCGGGCAGUUUGACUGGGGCGGUCGCCUCCUAAAAGG